GACGAACGCUGGCGGCGUGCUUAACACAUGCAAGUCGAACGGAAAGGCCCUGCUUUUGUGGGGUGCUCGAGUUGCCAACGGGGGAGUAACACGUGAGUAACCUGCCCUUGACUUUGGGAUAACUUCAGGAAACUGGGGCUAAUACCGGAUAGGAGCUCCUGCUGCAUGGUGGGGGUUGGAAGGUUUCGGCGGUUGGGGAUGGACUCGCGGCUUAUCAGCUUGUUGGUGGGGUAGUGUCUUACCAAGGCUUUGACGGGUAGCCGGGCUGAGCGGGUGAGCGGCCACACUGGGACUGAGAUGAGGCACAGACUACUACGGGAGGCAGGAGUGGGGAAUAGUGCACAAUGGGCUGAAGGAUGGUGCAGCAAAGCCGCGUGAGGGGUGACGGGAUUGGGGUAGUAUUGCGCUUUCGCUUGUCACGAAGCGUGAGUGACGGUAAUGGGUAAAGAAGCACCGGCUAACUACGUG
RNAcentral lists this ribosomal RNA (468 nucleotides) under uncultured bacterium. RNAcentral describes it as "partial 16S ribosomal RNA". It matches the Rfam family "Bacterial small subunit ribosomal RNA", at positions 28 to 507 of the family's 1533-position model. The record is from RNAcentral.